This 945-nucleotide non-coding RNA is filed under the name Hoplisoma nattereri (blue corydoras). RNAcentral's name for it is "Corydoras nattereri 12S ribosomal RNA". It matches the Rfam family "Bacterial small subunit ribosomal RNA". Lineage: Eukaryota; Metazoa; Chordata; Actinopteri; Siluriformes; Callichthyidae. The record is from RNAcentral.
CAAAGGUUUGGUCCUGACUUUACUAUCAGCUUUAGCCUAAUUCAUACAUGCAAGUAUCCGCACCCCCGUGAGAAUGCCCUCAAUCCCCCUACCGGGGACGAGGAGCAGGCAUCAGGCACACAUCAGUUGGCCCAAGACGCCUUGCUUUGCCACACCCCCAAGGGAAUUCAGCAGUAGUAAAUAUUAAGCCAUAAGUGAAAACUUGACUUAGUUAAGGUUAAAAGAGUCGGUAAAAUUCGUGCCAGCCACCGCGGUUAUACGAAAGACUCCAGUUGAUAAAUACGGCGUAAAGGGUGGUUAGGGUAAUAAAAAAAUAAAGCUAAAGACUUACCAAGCCGUCAUACGCCUAUGGAAGAACGAAAGCCACAAACGAAAGUAACUUUAUCAUAAUAUCCGAACCCACGAAAGCUAAGAAACAAACUGGGAUUAGAUACCCCACUAUGCUUAGCCCUAAACCAAGGUAUUAAUAUACAAAAAUACCCGCCAGGGUACUACGAGCAUAGCUUAAAACCCAAAGGACUUGGCGGUGUCUCAGACCCACCUAGAGGAGCCUGUUCUAGAACCGAUAAUCCCCGUUAAACCUCACCACUUCUUGUUAAUCCCGCCUAUAUACCGCCGUCGCCAGCUUACCCCAUGAGGGUUGAACAGUAAGCAAAAUGGACAAACCCCAAAACGUCAGGUCGAGGUGUAGCGCACGAAGUGGGAAGAAAUGGGCUACAUUUUCUACAACAGAAAAUAACGAAUGGUCUACUGAAACACACACCUGAAGGAGGAUUUAGCAGUAAAAAGCAAAUAGAGAGUCCUUUUGAAUCAGGCUCUGAGACACGCACACACCGCCCGUCACUCUCCCCCACAUAAACCAAACAAUAAAUAAUACAUCAAUAAAUACAUCGGGGAGGCAAGUCGUAACAUGGUAAGUGUACCGGAAGGUGCACUUGGAACAAU